This 374-nucleotide ribosomal RNA is filed under the name uncultured bacterium. RNAcentral describes it as "bacterial SSU rRNA". It matches the Rfam family "Bacterial small subunit ribosomal RNA", at positions 406 to 796 of the family's 1533-position model. The record is from RNAcentral.
GGAUGAAGGCCUUCGGGUCGUAAACUGCUUUUAAUUGAUAGAAAACAAAUGAUUGUCAGUUGAAUAAGGGGUGGCUAACUUCGUGCCAGCAGCAGCGGUAAUACGAAGGCCCCGAGCGUUAUCCGGAAUUAUUGGGCGUAAAGGGUGCGUAGGUGGCUAAGCAGGUCUGUUGUUAAAUUUCACCGCCCAACGGUGAAACCGCAACGGAAACCGUUUAGCUAGAGGGUGCGAGAGGCUUGUGGAAUUUACGGUGUAGGGGUGAAAUCCGUUGAUAUCGUAGAGAACACCAAAGGCGAAGGCAGCAAGCUGGCGCAUUUCUGACACUGAGGCACGAAAGCGUGGGGAGCAAAAAGGAUUAGAUACCCCCGUAGUCC